RNAcentral lists this long non-coding RNA (820 nucleotides) under Rattus norvegicus (Norway rat). Its description in RNAcentral is "long non-coding RNA NONRATT021502". The record is from RNAcentral. Lineage: Eukaryota; Metazoa; Chordata; Mammalia; Rodentia; Muridae.
GAGGGCAAAGGUGGUGGCCGAGUGUACCCUGAAGGAAAGUGCAGCCAUUAACCAAAUCCUGGGAAGAAAGGUAAUGUCUGCUCCUGUUAACUCGUCCUGGCAGCAGGCCUGUGUCCCUCCUACCCUGACUGCUCUGUGUGUCCUUACCCUCUCUCCCUUAGUGGCACAACCUGUCAAGAGAAGAACAGGCCAAAUACUAUGAACUUGCCCGGAAAGAACGGCAGCUUCACGCGCAGCUCUACCCAACCUGGUCAGCCCGGGACAACUAUGGUAAGAAGAAGAAGAGGAAGAGGGAAAAGCAGCUGUCACAGACACAGUCUCAGCAGCAAAUCCAGGAGGCAGAGGGUGCUCUGGUCUCUAAGAGCAAGAAGCCAUGCAUUCAGUACCUGCCCCCUGAGAAGCCUUGUGAUAGCCCUGCGUCUUCCCAUGGCAGCACGUUGGACUCCCCUGCGACUCCCUCCGCAGCCCUGGCGUCACCAGCUGCCCCUGCGGCUACUCACUCCGAGCAAGCCCAGCCCCUGUCACUCACCACCAAACCGGAGACCCGGGCCCAGCUGGCUCUCCACUCAGCUGCCUUCCUGUCAGCUAAGGCCACAGCCAGCAACUCCAGCCAGAUGGGCAGCCAGCCCCCACUCCUAUCCAGGCCCUUGCCCUUGGGCUCUAUGCCCACCGCUCUGCUGACCUCUCCCCCUUCUUUCCCAGCCACGCUCCAUGCCCACCAGACCCUCCCCGUGCUACAGGCCCAGCCUCUUUCCUUGGUCACCAAGUCUGCCCACUAAGCUGCCCCCGUUCUACGCAGGCUGUCUCGGGACUCCAAGUA